CCCUUAGAUGUUCUGGGCCGCACGCGCGCUACACUGACGAUGGCAACGAGUUUUUCCUUCGCCGAAAGGUGUGGGUAAUCUUUUGAAACAUCGUCGGGCUGGGGAUAGAUCAUUGCAAUUUUUGAUCUUGAACGAGGAAUUCCUAGUAAGCGCGAGUCAUCAGCUCGCGUUGAUUACGUCCCUGCCCUUUGUACACACCGCCCGUCGCUACUACCGAUUGAAUGGUUUAGUGAGGACUCCUGAUUGGCGCCGCCGCCCCGGCAACGGAGCAGCGGACUGCCGAAAAGUUGUUCAAACUUGAUCAUUUAGAGGAAGUAAAAGUCGUAACA
This 329-nucleotide ribosomal RNA is filed under the name uncultured eukaryote. Its description in RNAcentral is "partial 18S ribosomal RNA". It matches the Rfam family "Eukaryotic small subunit ribosomal RNA", at positions 1470 to 1796 of the family's 1831-position model. The record is from RNAcentral.